UCUCAUUUGAGUAGGCUCUAUCAGAGGGAAGGUCUAGGGCUGAAGGCUGUUUGUCAGAUUCUUUUGUUCCACAGCGUGGCCAGAGCUGUAGUGAUUGUUGCCUCUUUUCUGGAUCUGGCCACUCUGUAUAGACAACCCCCAGUACCAGCCCGGAGCCUGGUAGACUUGGUGCUUCUCAUGUACUACUGCUACCACCAUGAUGCUGUCCACUAAAGAACACUUUUUGGUACUGGGGGUUGUCUGUACAGAGUCCUGUGUUGUGAACCAUCUGUCAGUCUCUCAGCCAUGGAUACAAGCACACUAUUUGGGUUGUCUCCUGGGUCCUACAGGAGCAAUCCGCUUCCUUCAGGGAAUCUGUGGGUCCUCUCAGGUUUCCCGAUUUAUGCCUGCAGUCAUUCUGGAGUAAAAAUUCAUGAUAGGCGCCUCCACAUGCUACUCUGUUCAUCUAAGUCAGAGCCACAAUGUAUUCCUGCCUCCCAUCUGCCAUGAUCACCUCCCUCACUUUUGAUUCUUCAUCUCUUGAUUCCUCUCCAGAUGCUUUUAUGAUUCUACAAAUCAGGGUUGCCCAGGACAAGGAUAACAGCAAGAAAUAUCUCAAAUUCCCUCUGAAAGCUCUAGGAUCUAAUUAGCACUUAUAUGGAAAAGUCACAUUCCUAAUAAAAAUAAGAUGCAGAAACCUCCAAGUUGGCACUGUAAGAAGAAUUUCUUAAAAAGGAAAGAAAAAUGAAUUAAGAAAUCCCAGCCUUUCUUUCCAAGCUUCACCCUCCUCCUGGCGCUUCUCACAUACUACUGCUGCAACCAUGAUGCACGAAAGAACACUUUCUGCCUUUAACAUUUGUGGAUCUUCAUCUCAUGAGCUUAACACCUGGAGAGAGGAAAGGUUCCUUUUGUUAAAGAAAUGCCCUUACUUGAUGGAACAUCAAAACCUCAUUAUAUUGCAAACAUUGGACUAUAAAAGAUGGAGAAUGAGCAAUUCUACUUAGCCGCUGCAGCCCUCCACACGGUGCCCCAGAAGGACAAUGAGUUCCAAAGGUCAGGGUUACACAUGGCGUGGUAAGUGUUUUUCUCCUUCUAACACUCAACAGGCUUGGAAAAUGGCCAAUGUUAGAGACAGAG
This 1116-nucleotide long non-coding RNA is filed under the name Homo sapiens (human). Its description in RNAcentral is "HSALNT0354237". The record is from RNAcentral. Lineage: Eukaryota; Metazoa; Chordata; Mammalia; Primates; Hominidae.